Molecule: transfer RNA, 121 nt
Filed under: Colletotrichum orchidophilum
Lineage: Eukaryota; Fungi; Ascomycota; Sordariomycetes; Glomerellales; Glomerellaceae
Rfam family: tRNA
About the family: Transfer RNA (tRNA) molecules are approximately 80 nucleotides in length. Their secondary structure includes four short double-helical elements and three loops (D, anti-codon, and T loops).
Source: Rfam by way of RNAcentral
GCCCGAAUGGCUCAGUGGUAAAGCGUCUCACUAGUAACUGUUCUGCUCUAAUGACUUCAAUCUGAAGAGGAUUCAUGGUCCCGAAAUGAGAAGAUCGCCAGUUCGAUUCUGGCUUUGGGCA